GGCUCAGGAUGAACGCUAGCUACAGGCUUAACACAUGCAAGUCGAGGGGCAGCAUUGGGAUAGCUUGCUAUCCAGAUGGCGACCGGCGCACGGGUGAGUAACGCGUAUCCAACCUUCCCUAUAGUAGAGAAUAGCCCGGCGAAAGUCGGAUUAAUGCUCUAUGUUGUGUUUUGAGGACAUCUGACGAACACCAAAGGUUCACCGCUAUAGGAUGGGGAUGCGUCUGAUUAGCUUGUUGGCGGGGUAACGGCCCACCAAGGCGACGAUCAGUAGGGGUUCUGAGAGGAAGGUCCCCCACAUUGGUACUGAGACACGGACCAAACUCCUACGGGAGGCAGCAGUGAGGAAUAUUGGUCAAUGGGCGAGAGCCUGAACCAGCCAAGUAGCGUGCAGGAACCGACUGCCCUAUGGGUUGUAAACUGCUUUUAUCAGGGAAUAAAGUGCGGCACGUGUGCCGUUUUGUAUGUACCUGAUGAAUAAGGACCGGCUAAUUCCGUGCCAGCCGCAGC
This 509-nucleotide ribosomal RNA is filed under the name uncultured bacterium. Its description in RNAcentral is "bacterial SSU rRNA". It matches the Rfam family "Bacterial small subunit ribosomal RNA", at positions 21 to 518 of the family's 1533-position model. The record is from RNAcentral.